CCCCACUGCUAUCGAGGUGAGACUUAGCCAGGCCAGUCGAACGACUCGGACUAUGGCGAGAAGUGGCAAACUGCUCAGUAACACGUAGCUAACCUACCCUCAGGACGGAGACAGCCCCGGGAAACUGGGGUUAAUCCCUGAUAGGCGUGGAUUCCUGGAAUGGUGUCACGCCGAAACGUUAACACACCAUGUUUGUGUACACGCCUGAGGAUGGGGCUGCGGCCGAUCAGGCAGUUGGUGAGGUAACGGCUCACCAAACCUUUGACCGGUACGGGCCGUGAGAGCGGUAGCCCGGAGAUGGACACUGAGACAAGGGUCCAGGACCUACGGGUCGCAGCCGGUACGAAACCUCCACAAUGCACGCAAGUGCGAUGGGGUUACCUCGAGUGCCGCCUGAAGAAGGCGGCUUUUCCAUUGUGUAAUGAGCCGUGGGAAUAAGGGGGGGGCAAGACUGGUGUCAGCCGCCGCGGUAACACCAGCCCCCCGAGUGGUGGGGAUGUUUAUUUGGCCUAAAACGUCCGUAGCCAGCUAGGUAAAUCUCUCGUUAAAUCCAGCGUCCUAAGCGUUGGGCUGCGAGAGAGACUGCCAAGCUAGAGGGUGGGAGAGGUCAGCGGUAUUUCUGGGGUAGGGGCGAAAUCCAUUGAUCCCAGGAGGACCACCAGUGGCGAAGGCUGCUGACUAGAACACGCCUGACGGUGAGGGACGAAAGCUGGGGUAGCGAAUCGGAUUAGAUACCCGAGUAGUCCCAGCCGUAAACGAUGCAGGCUAGGUGUUGGGUUGGCCACGUGCCGACUCAGUGCCACAGGGAAGCCAUUAAGCCUGCUGCCUGGGGAGUACGGUCGCAAGGCUGAAACUUAAWGGAAUUGGCGGGAGAGCACCACCAGGCGUGAAGCCUGCGGUUU
This 902-nucleotide ribosomal RNA is filed under the name uncultured archaeon. Its description in RNAcentral is "bacterial SSU rRNA". It matches the Rfam family "Archaeal small subunit ribosomal RNA", at positions 22 to 903 of the family's 1478-position model. The record is from RNAcentral.